Molecule: transfer RNA, 85 nt
Filed under: Felis catus (domestic cat)
Lineage: Eukaryota; Metazoa; Chordata; Mammalia; Carnivora; Felidae
Rfam family: tRNA
About the family: Transfer RNA (tRNA) molecules are approximately 80 nucleotides in length. Their secondary structure includes four short double-helical elements and three loops (D, anti-codon, and T loops).
Source: Rfam by way of RNAcentral
GCCUGGGUGGCUCAGUAGGUUAAGCAUCUGACUUCGGCUCAGGUCAUGAUCUUGCAGUUUGUGAGUUCGAGCCCCAUUUCGGGCU